CUGUCUGAAAUCUUUUAGAUCUGAGAAUUACUUAUGUUGUCCUUUGUUGUGUGCAACUGAUUUUUUUCUCUCUUUAAUAUACAAAGUAUCUGACGCCUGAUCAGCGAAGGCUAAAGGGGACCAGCAUGGAAUGGAAGAGAUUUGAAGAACAUUAAGUCUACAUGUAGGCCAGGCUUUCUUUUCUCCUUCUGUGCUGCGGAUCAUGGCUCUUUUCUCCUCUCCAUCAAUGCAAGAAGCACCUCCGCUAGACCUGUUCUUUUUGAUGGCAUGCUCUCACCUGUAGUCUCUUGUGGAAGUCUCAUGUGUUCCGAUUACAUUCUGUGCUGGAAUAUCUGAUAUUCUCUGUCCUUCAUACAACAUCUGUUUGCACUUAUUCUGUAUUGUGCUUAAUUGGCAUUGAUUAUGUUUUUGCAAGUGAAAAGUUUGUGAGCUUCUAGAAAUAUCAUGGAUAGAAAGUGGUACACCAGAGUAUGAAAGACAAAUUUGCUGAACUGUUUGACGGCUUUAAACUGAAUAAAUCUAUAAAGCAUCAAUGACCAC
Molecule: long non-coding RNA, 540 nt
Organism: Carassius carassius (crucian carp)
Lineage: Eukaryota; Metazoa; Chordata; Actinopteri; Cypriniformes; Cyprinidae
Exons: 3
Source: RefSeq, a predicted model, not a curated record